CUACUUGUGAAUGGUGGGUCAGGCUUAACUAAAGAGUAUGGGCAAUAACGUUAGGUGAGCCCACAUGACUUAGAGACUAAGUCACUGCAACAUACUUAGAGAAGCAUCUGGGCAAAGAGUUACCUACGCAUCGAUGUGUGAUAUGAUCGCGAUGUUGUCGUUAGGACACCGUGAUUAUCAAUCUAAUUCCAACUUUAAUAAAAAUUAAAAACACAUAGAAAGUAGCAAGUC
Molecule: long non-coding RNA, 231 nt
Filed under: Elaeis guineensis (African oil palm)
Lineage: Eukaryota; Viridiplantae; Streptophyta; Magnoliopsida; Arecales; Arecaceae
Description: long non-coding RNA (EGUI_LNC053828)
Source: RNAcentral